RNAcentral lists this long non-coding RNA (1032 nucleotides) under Scophthalmus maximus (turbot). Its description in RNAcentral is "lncRNA (ENSSMAG00000035142.1)". The record is from RNAcentral. Lineage: Eukaryota; Metazoa; Chordata; Actinopteri; Pleuronectiformes; Scophthalmidae.
UUUAAAUCUUCAAGUAACCAACAUCUUAGGGAGUGCAUCGGCAAGCUCUGCUUCUUGCUUUGAACCCAGAUGACCCCUGCAGCCUCUCUCUCAAGUCUAAGCAGAGAGAGAAAGUCUUGAUCUCUGGAGUGGAAGGGAACACUCUUUUUCUUCUCUUUCUCCCUCUCUCUCUCUUAAGCCACAAGUUCAGAGGCAGAUCCUCGUCAUUUGCCAGGUGAAAUCAAAGCAGGCAAUCGCAGUAGGUGAGCCGUGGCCAAACAGCUUUGAUUUCCUUUUUUUUUUUUUUCCCCUUCUAAGGCGCGCGUCCGCGCCGUUCGCCGCUCUCGUUGCACUGCCACGGCCCCGGAAAUGACAAGCGAGGGCAGAAGAAAUGGUGAAAAGGUUCGAUGGCCAGCGCGCCGCAGGAAAGGUGGUUAUUUAUGGCUGAAAGACAGAGAAGAAGAACAAUAAAAACUGUCUGCGCGAACGGAGAGCCAGCGGAAUUAUGAACAAAAACGAACAGUUUCCAUGAAAAUCCACCAUUCAUCCGUCACUCCGCUGACAGCUGGAUUACAGCACACUCCCACGGCCCUCUCCCACAGCUCUUCAUGCGCUCCUCAGCCGGGAUACACUGGGUGUGGGGUUACAGGAAUGACCGGGGGCCGCGGUGGCUCUUUCCAACGCCGGCAGCCCCGUCCUCGAGGAUCUGCGAGGACUCGCGGUGCGACAGGGUGCCGCAUCCCACCGAUAUUGCUGACGUUUCCUGCCUCAGACUUUCCAUGACGCCAUGACCGCCCGGUGGAACGGAUCGUCUUAACAGUGACACAUUGCUGUCUGAUAUUACAUAGAUUCUGUUGUUAUUGAAUUUGAACAUCCUCGCGGGGACAGGGACAAUGGGUGCAUGUGGAGGAGGUUAUGCCAAACGUGUAAAUAUGCAAAGAAAUUAAAUUGCUGUAAAUUACCAUAACUUGGGUUGUGGUGAACUCAUCUUAGCAGCACUUGCACUUGAGAAGAUGCGUUUGAAGCCAAACGCGAGGAUAAGGACGACCAAAA